GUGGGGAAUAUUGGACAAUGGGCGCAAGCCUGAUCCAGCCAUGCCGCGUGAGUGAUGAAGGCCUUAGGGUUGUAAAGCUCUUUUGUCCGGGAAGAUAAUGACUGUACCGGAAGAAUAAGCCCCGGCUAACUUCGUGCCAGCAGCCGCGGUAAUACGAAGGGGGCUAGCGUUGUUCGGAAUCACUGGGCGUAAAGCGCACGUAGGCGGACCAUUAAGUCAGGGGGGAAAGCCUGGAGCUCAACUCCAGAACUGCCUUUGAUACUGAUGGUCUCGAGUAUGGAAGAGGUUGGUGGAACUGCGAGUGUAGAGGUGAAAUUCGUAGAUAUUCGCAAGAACACCGGUGGCGAAGGCGGCCAACUGGUCCAUUACUGACGCUGAGGUGCGAAAGCGUGGGGAGCAAACAGGAUUAGAAACCCGAGUAGUCC
This 425-nucleotide ribosomal RNA is filed under the name uncultured bacterium. RNAcentral describes it as "partial 16S ribosomal RNA". It matches the Rfam family "Bacterial small subunit ribosomal RNA", at positions 354 to 796 of the family's 1533-position model. The record is from RNAcentral.